AGCAGCCGCGGUAAUUCCAGCUCCAAUAGCGUAUAUUAAAGUUGCUGCAGUUAAAAAGCUCGUAGUUGAAUUUCGGGACCAAUAUGUCGGUCGUGCCUCGGUACGUACUGGUAUUUUGGUUUCUCCCUUCUGACGAACCUUGAUGUCAUUAAUUUGGUGUCUUGGGAAAUCAGGACUGUUACUUUGAAAAAAUUUAGAGUGUUUAAAGCAGGCUCACGCUUGGAUACAUUAGCAUGGAAUAAUGAAAUAGGACGUUUGAUUCUAUUUUGUUGGUUUCUAGGAUCGACGUAAUGAUUAAUAGGGAUAGUUGGGGGCAUUAGUAUUCAAUUGUCAGAGGUGAAAUUCUUGGAUUUAUUGAAGACUAACUACUGCGAAAGCAUUUGCCAAGGAUGUUUUCAUUAAUCAAGAACGAAAGUUAGGGGAUCGAAGACGAUCAGAUACCGUCGUAGUCUUAACCAUAAACUAUGCCGACUAGGGAUCGGAUGAUGUUAAUUUUUUAAUGACUCAUUCGGCGCCUUAC
This 520-nucleotide ribosomal RNA is filed under the name uncultured Glomus. RNAcentral's name for it is "SSU rRNA". It matches the Rfam family "Eukaryotic small subunit ribosomal RNA", at positions 569 to 1091 of the family's 1831-position model. The record is from RNAcentral. Lineage: Eukaryota; Fungi; Glomeromycota; Glomeromycetes; Glomerales; Glomeraceae.